CGAUUGAAGCUGGAGCUUGCUCCGGCCGAUUUAGUGGCGGACGGGUGAGUAACGCGUGGGUAACCUGCCUCAUACAGGGGGAUAGCAGUUGGAAACGACUGGUAAAACCGCAUAAGCGCACGGUGUCGCAUGACACAGUGUGAAAACACUCCGGUGGUAUGAGAUGGACCCGCGUCUGAUUAGCUAGUUGGUGAGGUAACGGCCCACCAAGGCGACGAUCAGUAGCCGGCCUGAGAGGGUGAACGGCCACAUUGGGACUGAGACACGGCCCAAACUCCUACGGGAGGCAGCAGUGGGGAAUAUUGCACAAUGGGGGAAACCCUGAUGCAGCGACGCCGCGUGAGUGAUGAAGUAUUUCGGUAUGUAAAGCUCUAUCAGCAGGGAAGAUAAUGACGGUACCUGACUAAGAAGCACCGGCUAAAUACGUGCCAGCAGCCGCGGUAAUACGUAUGGUGCAAGCGUUAUCCGGAUUUACUGGGUGUAAAGGGUGCGUAGGUGGCAAGGCAAGUCUGAAGUGAAAAUCCGGGGCUCAACCCCGGAACUGCUUUGGAAACUGUUUAGCUGGAGUACAGGAGAGGUAAGUGGAAUUCCUAGUGUAGCGGUGAAAUGCGUAGAUAUUAGGAGGAACACCAGUGGCGAAGGCGACUUACUGGACUGCUACUGACACUGAGG
RNAcentral lists this ribosomal RNA (672 nucleotides) under uncultured Lachnospiraceae bacterium. Its description in RNAcentral is "bacterial SSU rRNA". It matches the Rfam family "Bacterial small subunit ribosomal RNA", at positions 63 to 751 of the family's 1533-position model. Lineage: Bacteria; Bacillati; Bacillota; Clostridia; Lachnospirales; Lachnospiraceae. The record is from RNAcentral.